RNAcentral lists this ribosomal RNA (230 nucleotides) under uncultured bacterium. RNAcentral describes it as "partial 16S ribosomal RNA". It matches the Rfam family "Bacterial small subunit ribosomal RNA", at positions 562 to 791 of the family's 1533-position model. The record is from RNAcentral.
AAAGCGUGCGCAGGCGGUUUUGUAAGUCUGUCGUGAAAGCCCCGGGCUCAACCUGGGAAUUGUGAUGGAGACUGCAAGGCUUGAAUCUGGCAGAGGGGGGUAGAAUUCCACGUGUAGCAGUGAAAUGCGUAGAGAUGUGGAGGAACACCGAUGGCGAAGGCAGCCCCCUGGGUCAAGAUUGACGCUCAUGCACGAAAGCGUGGGGAGCAAACAGGAUUAGAUACCCGAGU